RNAcentral lists this ribosomal RNA (668 nucleotides) under Rhypochares sp. MSC-2013. Its description in RNAcentral is "eukaryotic LSU rRNA". It matches the Rfam family "Eukaryotic large subunit ribosomal RNA", at positions 402 to 810 of the family's 3401-position model. Lineage: Eukaryota; Metazoa; Arthropoda; Insecta; Coleoptera; Histeridae. The record is from RNAcentral.
AAACCGUUCAGGGGUAAACCUGAGAAACCCGAAAGUUCGAAAGGAGAGAUUCACCGCGACUCGUGUCGUCGGCGAGGACGAGCACGGACGUCGGUCGGACCUCGGUUCGGUCGCGCCGUACGCGUCCCGUCGUGGCGUGCGAUCGCGUGCACUUCUCUCCCAGUAGGACGUCGCGACCCGUUGGGCGUCGGUCUACGAUCGACGGUGGAGUCCGCGGAAUCGGCAUUCGCGUGCCGUGUCCGCGAACCCGUCGCAUCCGGCCGGCUCGCUCGACGGUAGUCAGAAAGGGCGCGGGGCCGCGACCAGUUCGCGUCCGGCCCGUCGCAAGCAAGUUCGGUAAUUCGGUGCACUCGGCGGCCUCGUGUCUCCGGUCCCGGAUCCGAGCUACUGUUCGCGGCGGUGUCCUCGGACAGACCCCGUAUACACGCCCGUCAGCGACGCUAUCGCUUUGGGUACUUUCAGGACCCGUCUUGAAACACGGACCAAGGAGUCUAGCAUGCACGCGAGUCUUCGGGACUCUUUUAACUAAUCCUAAAGGCGAAAUGAAAGUGAAGGUCCGCCUCGGCGCGCGACCCAGGGAAGAUGAGGAGCCCCGAAAUGGGCGACUCCGCACUCCCGGGGCGUCUCGAUCUCAUCGCGAGAUGAGGCGCACCCAGAGCGUACACGCU